Molecule: transfer RNA, 63 nt
Filed under: Cichlidarus nyanzae
Lineage: Eukaryota; Metazoa; Platyhelminthes; Monogenea; Gyrodactylidea; Gyrodactylidae
Description: tRNA-Gln
Source: RNAcentral
UAUAAAGUAUUGUAUUAAGCAUAUUGUUUUUUGGUAGCAAAGGAGGUAGUUAACCCUUUAUAA